RNAcentral lists this ribosomal RNA (235 nucleotides) under uncultured bacterium. Its description in RNAcentral is "partial 16S ribosomal RNA". It matches the Rfam family "Bacterial small subunit ribosomal RNA", at positions 96 to 334 of the family's 1533-position model. The record is from RNAcentral.
CGGCGGACGGGUGAGUAAUGUAUGGGGAUCUGCCUGAUGGCGGGGGAUAACUACUGGAAACGGUAGCUAAUACCGCAUAAUGUCUACGGACCAAAGCGGGGGACCUCCGGGCCUCGCGCCAUCAGAUGAACCCGUAUGGGAUUAGCUAGUAGGUGAGGUAACGGCUUACCUAGGCGACGAUCCCUAGCUGGUCUGAGAGGGUGAUCGGCCACACUGGGACUGAGACACGGCCCAG